Molecule: ribosomal RNA, 450 nt
Filed under: uncultured Glomeromycotina
Lineage: Eukaryota; Fungi; Glomeromycota
Description: SSU rRNA
Rfam family: Eukaryotic small subunit ribosomal RNA
Source: RNAcentral
AGCAGCCGCGGUAAUUCCAGCUCCAAUAGCGUAUAUUAAAGUUGUUGCAGUUAAAAAGCUCGUAGUUGAAUUUCGGAACCGAUGGAUCGGUCACGCCAUUCGGUGUGUACUGGUUUAGUUGGUUCUCACCUUCUAAGGAACCGUGAUGUCAUUAAUUUGGUGUCGCGGGGAAUUAGGACUGUUACCUUGAAAAAAUUAGAGUGUUUAAAGCAAGCUCACGCUUGAAUACAUUAGCAUGGAAUAAUGAAAUAGGACAUUGUAUUCUAUUUUGUUGGUUUCUAGGAUCGAUGUAAUGAUUAAUAGGGAUAGUUGGGGGCAUUAGUAUUCAAUUGUCAGAGGUGAAAUUCUUGGAUUUAUUGAAGACUAACUACUGCGAAAGCAUUUGCCAAGGAUGUUUUCAUUAAUCAAGAACGAAAGUUAGGGGAUCGAAGACGAUCAGAUACCGUCGUA